This 433-nucleotide ribosomal RNA is filed under the name uncultured bacterium. RNAcentral describes it as "partial 16S ribosomal RNA". It matches the Rfam family "Bacterial small subunit ribosomal RNA", at positions 28 to 507 of the family's 1533-position model. The record is from RNAcentral.
GACGAACGCUGGCGGCGUGCCUAACACAUGCAAGUCGAACGGAACGUCCGGGUUUAUUGGCGCUGGGCGGCGUAACGCGUGGGGAGUUGCACUUAGGUUAGCAAUCCUUGACUGAAGGGGAACUUCAUACCGGUGAGGGUCUUACCACCUAAGAUCUAUCGCUUUUGGAUGGGCCCGCGUUAGAUUAGCUAGUUGGUAGGGUAAAAGCCUAUCAAGGCGACGUUCCAUAGCUGGUGUGAGAGGAGGAUCAGCAACACUUGGACUGAGACACGGCCCAGAAUCCUACGGGAGGCAGCAGUGGGGAAUAUUGGACAAUGGGCGAAAGCCUGAUCCAGCAAUGCCGCGUGAGUGAUGAAGGCCUUAGGGUUGUAAAGCUCUUUUACCCGGGAUGAUAAUGACAGUACCGGGAGAAUAAGCGCCGGCUAACUCCGUG